Molecule: long non-coding RNA, 407 nt
Organism: Xiphias gladius (swordfish)
Lineage: Eukaryota; Metazoa; Chordata; Actinopteri; Istiophoriformes; Xiphiidae
Exons: 3
Source: RefSeq, a predicted model, not a curated record
ACAGGGGCUCCCCAGUGCAUUCGCGGAGAGCUGGUUUUGUGAAGAAUGCAUGGGGGAAAUGGCAUUUCUGGGCAGGUCAGUGGAUUCAAACUAUACCACACAUGCUGCCGUACGAUUCUCAGGACAAAAUCGACGACCAUCUAAAAGCCAUGUAUCGGGCCGAGCUUGCAGCUGUGUGACCCAAGUCACCAUCAACUGGGACAACACUGGAGGGAGCCGGGCCCUCGAUGAGCCAUCCCCCGAAAGUCAUCCAGAGAGGGGAAAAGAACCUGGCAGAACAGGUCCACCUUUUCAUUCCACUACUGCUGCCUGCCAGUGGAACCAAACUGGUCCUCGGCCCGCUAUGCCUCGCCCUCCUUCUGUUGAAGUUAAAGUGAGGAAAACUGACUCAAUUUUAAAAGUCACAG